RNAcentral lists this long non-coding RNA (265 nucleotides) under Gossypium barbadense (sea-island cotton). RNAcentral's name for it is "long non-coding RNA (GBAR_LNC019034)". Lineage: Eukaryota; Viridiplantae; Streptophyta; Magnoliopsida; Malvales; Malvaceae. The record is from RNAcentral.
UUUUAUGCUAAAAAUAUUGAAGGUUGUUCAUGAUAUCUAUAAACUUAUGGAACUAUCUUUGGAACAUUAUGAGGUGAGCAUGAUACCAAAGAUUGUUGAUUGCAGUCAGAAUCAUGGAAUUAAUUAGGUAUGUGUGAUAUUUGUAAUUGUUGUCAAUAAAGUAUAAUUAGUUAUCAUGAUCAAGACCUAUCGAUCUAAUUGACAUAUUGGUGGAACUUAGGCUUACAUUAUUGGUGGAGAUGGAAUUGAGAGAGGUGCAUAUGUU